RNAcentral lists this ribosomal RNA (468 nucleotides) under uncultured bacterium. Its description in RNAcentral is "partial 16S ribosomal RNA". It matches the Rfam family "Bacterial small subunit ribosomal RNA", at positions 28 to 507 of the family's 1533-position model. The record is from RNAcentral.
GACGAACGCUGGCGGCGUGCUUAACACAUGCAAGUCGAACGGAAAGGCCCUGCUUUUGUGGGGUGCUCGAGUGGCGAGCGGGUGAGUAACACGUGGGUAACCUGCCCUUGACUUUGGGAUAACUUCAGGAAACUGGGGCUAAUACCGGAUAGGAGCUCCUGCUGCAUGGUGGGGGUUGGAAAGUUUCGGCGGUUGGGGAUGGACUCGCGGCUUAUCAGCUUGUUGGUGGGGUAGUGGCUUACCAAGGCUUUGACGGGUAGCCGGCCUGAGAGGGUGACCGGCCACAUUGGGACUGAGAUACGGCCCAGACUCCUACGGGAGGCAGCAGUGGGGAAUAUUGCACAAUGGGCGGAAGCCUGAUGCAGCAACGCCGCGUGCGGGAUGACGGCCUUCGGGUUGUAAACCGCUUUCGCCUGUGACGAGGCGUGAGUGACGGUAAUGGGUAAAGAAGCACCGGCUAACUACGUG